RNAcentral lists this transfer RNA (75 nucleotides) under Baekduia soli. RNAcentral describes it as "tRNA-Gln". It matches the Rfam family "tRNA". From Rfam's summary of the family: Transfer RNA (tRNA) molecules are approximately 80 nucleotides in length. Their secondary structure includes four short double-helical elements and three loops (D, anti-codon, and T loops). The record is from RNAcentral. Lineage: Bacteria; Bacillati; Actinomycetota; Thermoleophilia; Solirubrobacterales; Baekduiaceae.
UGGGGGGUGGUGUAGCUGGCAACACACCAGGUUUUGGUCCUGGGAUCCGGGGUUCGAGUCCCUGCCCCCCAGCCU